RNAcentral lists this ribosomal RNA (269 nucleotides) under uncultured prokaryote. Its description in RNAcentral is "partial 16S ribosomal RNA". It matches the Rfam family "Bacterial small subunit ribosomal RNA", at positions 524 to 792 of the family's 1533-position model. The record is from RNAcentral.
UACGUAGGGGUCGAGCGUUGUCCGGAGUUACUGGGCGUAAAGCGCAUGCAGGCGGCUCAUUAAGCAUGGCGUGAAAGCCCCCGGCUCAACCGGGGAGGGUCGUCGUGAACUGGUGAGCUUGAGGGUAUCAGGGGCUGGUAGAAUUCCCGGUGUAGUGGUGAAAUGCGUAGAGAUCGGGAGGAACACCUGUGGCGAAGGCGGCCAGCUGGGAUACACCUGACGCUGAGAUGCGAAGGCGUGGGGAGCGAACGGGAUUAGAUACCCGCGUA